RNAcentral lists this ribosomal RNA (83 nucleotides) under Sus scrofa (pig). Lineage: Eukaryota; Metazoa; Chordata; Mammalia; Artiodactyla; Suidae. The record is from RNAcentral.
UCAAAGCAUGAUAUCAUUCUGAAUGUGCCAGAUCUCAUUUGAUCUGGGAAGCUAAGUGGGGUUGUGCCUGGUUAGUACUUGAA